GGUUCAUCUUUUAUUCCCCCAUACCCUUUCAUUUAAAUCAAGAGGAUGAGAUGUGGUUAUUGCUGUGUUUUUAGGCAGAAUCAACGGUUUCUGGGUCUGAGAUGUUGCAUACACCCUCUCAGUCCCUGUAGCCUGAGAUGGAGUCACGUGAGAAUCCACAGCAAGUCCUAACCAGGGAUGGGUCUGGGUGAUUAAGGAAGGUUGGCUUCAGAACUGGGCCAGGGGCACUGCUUUGCUUUUGCUGUUUUGAUCAGCUCUCUGCCUGCAGGAGACAAGGAAAAUCAAUGGGAACAGAAAUUGCCUGUUUGCUCCACUCUGGUUGAAGAAACCAGUCUGACUGUCUCUGAGGCUAUGGAGCAGUCCAUCAAGAAUGAAAGCCCUCUGCCAGGCACGUUGGCUCACACCUGUAAUACCAGCACUUUGGGAGGCCGAGGCAGGUGGAUCACUUGAGGUCAGGAGUUCGACACCAGCAUGGCCAACAUGGUGAAACCCUGUCUCUACAGAAAAUAAUACUUUGCAAGGCCUCAGAAACUCUGCUAUCCACAGGCAGGUCUUACAGUCAUGGCUGGCUCCUCUCUCUGAGAACUGGGACUCCUGAACUUGGUGAAAUACCUCAGCCAUCGAUCAUGUUAAAUUAUCGGGGACACUCAUUAAAAAUGUGAGUCUGCUCCAGAUGGACUCUCUCUCUUUCUGCCCUGACCGUGAGGGAGACCGUGAGAGAGAGAGACCGUGAGAGAGAGAAACCGUGAGAGAGACCAUCAGAGAGAGAAAGAGAGACCGUGCCCUGACCUGCUGGACAGUGGAGAUGCUUGUGGGCUGUGAGCAACAGAUGCAAGGGCUGCCGGGAAUCCCAUCUUUCCAGCAUCAUCUGCCAAGGCACAUCAGUUCCUGGGUGUCUUGAUGGGUUCUGGCAGCAUUACUGUCAUUGAAGGAAAACAUUUUAGCCAUAUUAAAGGUGAACUCAGCAAUCCCCACACAGCCUGCCUGGAAGGGACGCGGGACAAGGGUAGGUUCUCCCUGUGAUGGACAGGAGGCAGGCGACCCUCCCACAGCCCUACCUGGCAAUGCAGAUGUGUCCCCAAAAGGCACUGGGGGCAGCUGGAGUGCUGUGCCUAGGCGGGCUCACCCGGGCAGCGGUUCGCUCUGAUUGCAGUGGUUUCCCACCAGCUCCUUGGAGAGCUGGCAGAUGACCCAGCCCCACAGCAGGAGCCGGGAAUGGCAGAACGAGAUACAACAAUUUGAUAUCCACUUGCCAGAUGAGCCGGGUGUCCUCAGUCGCCUGGCUCUGUGCCCAACCUCUUUUUACAUAAACACUUAUGAAUUGAGCCAGGAGGAAAAGCACUCUGAUUAUGAAUUGAGCAGAAGGAAACAAAGUUCUGCAGAUAAACACCAAUGAAACAAAAAACCACGAAUAAGAAAAAUGACAGAAAAGGAGAACCUUCCCAGAAGCCUCCUGCCAGUGAACGGUCACCAGAGCAAGAGCAUGGAGGCCCUGGGUUUUGAACUGUGAGAUAAGGAAGAUGAUGAAAACCUCCCUAGCAGCCAGGCAAGCACAAGAUUCCUGUGAAAUCCAGGUCUAAGUGUUUUGACAACAGAAGUAAUAUUAUGUCAUAGGUGAGAGCUGUGAGUUGCUGAACCCAAAGUGAGUUCAAAUCCGAGCUCUGCCUCCUGCUACCUGUGUGACUUUGAGAAGUUCCAGCACUGCUUUGUGCCUCAGUUUUGUCAUCUGUUAAAUGGGCGUAAUCACAGCUCCUGCCUCAGAGUUGUUGUAAAUUAAUACAUGUAAAGCACUGAAAUCAGCCUGGUA
This 1807-nucleotide long non-coding RNA is filed under the name Homo sapiens (human). RNAcentral's name for it is "HSALNT0314620". The record is from RNAcentral. Lineage: Eukaryota; Metazoa; Chordata; Mammalia; Primates; Hominidae.